RNAcentral lists this ribosomal RNA (513 nucleotides) under uncultured archaeon. RNAcentral describes it as "bacterial SSU rRNA". It matches the Rfam family "Archaeal small subunit ribosomal RNA", at positions 80 to 577 of the family's 1478-position model. The record is from RNAcentral.
GGCAGACUGCUCAGUAACACGUAGCUAACCUACCCUCGUGACGGGGAUAACCCCGGCAAACUGGGGCUAAUACCCGAUAGGUGUGGAUUCCUGGAAUGGUGCCAUGCCUAAACGUAAGCGCAUCCAUGUUUGUGUGCACGCCCGAGGAUGGGGCUGCGGCCGAUCAGGCAGUUGGUGAGGUAACGGCUCACCAAACCUUUGACCGGUACGGGCCGUGAGAGCGGUAGCCCGGAUAUGGGCACUGAGACAAGGGCCCAGGCCCUACGGGGCGCAGCAGGCGCGAAACCUCCACAAUUCACGAAAGUGAGAUGGGGUUACCUCGAGUGCCGCCUGAAGAAGGCGGCUUUUCCAUGGUGUAAUGAUCCGUGGGAAUAAGGGGGGGGCAAGACUGGUGUCAGCCGCCGCGGUAACACCAGCCCCCCGAGUGGUGGGGAUGAUUAUUUGGCCUAAAGCGUCCGUAGCCGGCCAUGUAAAUCUCUCGUUAAAUCCAGCGUCCCAAGCGUUGGGCUGCGA